RNAcentral lists this ribosomal RNA (490 nucleotides) under uncultured bacterium. Its description in RNAcentral is "partial 16S ribosomal RNA". It matches the Rfam family "Bacterial small subunit ribosomal RNA", at positions 30 to 507 of the family's 1533-position model. The record is from RNAcentral.
AUUGAACGCUGGCGGCAGGCCUAACACAUGCAAGUCGAACGGUAACAGGAAGCAGCUUGCUGCUUCGCUGACGAGUGGCGGACGGGUGAGUAAUGUCUGGGAAACUGCCUGAUGGAGGGGGAUAACUACUGGAAACGGUAGCUAAUACCGCAUAACGUCGCAAGACCAAAGAGGGGGACCUUCGGGCCUCUUGCCAUCGGAUGUGCCCGGAUGGGAUUAGCUAGUAGGUGGGGUAACGGCUCACCUAGGCGACGAUCCCUAGCUGGUCUGAGAGGAUGACCAGCCACACUGGAACUGAGACACGGUCCAGACUCCUACGGGAGGCAGCAGUGGGGAAUAUUGCACAAUGGGCGCAAGCCUGAUGCAGCCAUGCCGCGUGUAUGAAGAAGGCCUUCGGGUUGUAAAGUACUUUCAGCGGGGAGGAAGGGAGUAAAGUUAAGACCUUUGCUCAUUGACGUUACCCGCAGAAGAAGCACCGGCUAACUCCGUG